Triticum urartu is the source of this 1209-nucleotide long non-coding RNA. RefSeq lists it as uncharacterized. NCBI's taxonomy places the organism in Eukaryota, Viridiplantae, Streptophyta, Magnoliopsida, Poales, Poaceae. The record is from RefSeq and is a predicted model, not a curated record.
CUCCCCCGGAUGUAAAAAAACCAGCCCACUCACCCGGUCCGUUCCUCUCUCCCACUUCUCCCAAUCUCCCAUCUCGUCAUUGCGGAGGCAGCGGCAGCGGCAGCGACGUCACCGGAGGGACGACCCAGCGGCGAGGACUACCUCUCUAGCGAGCGGAGUACUUCCUUUCCUCUCUCAUGCGGUAGGGAUUCAGAGGCGCCGUGGGUGGUGUAAGAUCCGGGCGAGCUCGGCAGUGACAACGGCCUUCUCCAGCGUCCCUCUCCACCGCCGGCAGUAUUAUCGCCAGGUUAUUGGUUUUUGGGAGCGGUGCAGGGGAAGAGGAAGAAAGACCAAGAAAUGAAAGGAAAGAAAAAUGAGGAGCUCAGGUGAUGCAGGUGAUGCAGGUAAUGCUGGAGACGGGCUCCUGGCAGUGGGGUCAGAGGUGUAGAUCAUAGCGGAGGAGAUGAGCCAUGUGGAUGGCAUAGAAGAGGGGGAGCUCAAGGCUGCGGAGACGGAAGGAACAACGGCAAACAAGGAAUUGGAAUUCUGCCAAGAAAUCUAGGAGUAGAAGAAUAUGUAUGCAAGGGACUUGGAGACGAGGCAAUGGUGCGCUGGUGAGAACACUGUUGUUCUGAUGCGUUAGGAUUGGGGUUCGGCUGCUCUUCAGUUUGUUAUAUCAAGGUUUUGAAGCUUUGGGAGCCUGCGGCCGGUUCGACGGGUGGCAUUAGCAAGCACCGGCCGGCCUCGGCACAGCUUCGGGUGGUUAUAUGGUGGGCGGAGUACACGAGUGGGCUUCGAUGUCAGGAUAACCACCGUCCAUAGCUCUCAUGUGAAUGUGGCAAGGCCACAGAACAAGUUUUGCAUUGCCAGAUAUCCAACAGAUCAACUGGUGUUAUGGAUGCUUCUUAUAGAUAUUCUUUUGCCAUUUCAAACAUCAGACACCAGCUACUCACAAUGGAGACAGGAAACAUGUAGCUUCUGAUGUCAACUAAGUGAGCCUGCCAAUUGUGGCAAUGGAAGGAGGUGGCAUGUCGCCUCAUUCAUGAGGCUGUUAGUUUCAUAACAGAAUUUUCCAGUUGCAUAUCUUUUGUAAAGUGUUCAGACUGUUUUUUUAGCAAAGAAAUAAAAUUUCUAAGACUUUAUCUAAUUUUACUUUUUUUCGGAUUGUAAUACUAAAUCAAUUUGUCACAGUUGUUUUCCCUUCGUAAUAGUAUUGCAGUUUUAAAACAA